GAUGCGCUUCACUCUAAGUAUGAACACCAAGCGUAUUUUCAUAGAGUUUGGUGUUCUACCUUACAGUGAAAUGAACU
RNAcentral lists this microRNA precursor (77 nucleotides) under Bombyx mori (domestic silkworm). RNAcentral describes it as "mir-971 microRNA precursor family". It matches the Rfam family "mir-971 microRNA precursor family". The record is from Rfam by way of RNAcentral. Lineage: Eukaryota; Metazoa; Arthropoda; Insecta; Lepidoptera; Bombycidae.